Molecule: small nuclear RNA, 106 nt
Filed under: Erinaceus europaeus (western European hedgehog)
Lineage: Eukaryota; Metazoa; Chordata; Mammalia; Eulipotyphla; Erinaceidae
Source: RNAcentral
AUGAUGGCUUCAGCAGUACAUAUACUAAAAUUGGAACAAUACAGAGAUUAGCAUGGCUCCUGUUUAAGGAUAAUGAGGGAUCCUGCCUGACUAUCUAGACUACUAU